This 61-nucleotide transfer RNA is filed under the name uncultured Parolsenella sp. It matches the Rfam family "tRNA", at positions 8 to 63 of the family's 71-position model. From Rfam's summary of the family: Transfer RNA (tRNA) molecules are approximately 80 nucleotides in length. The record is from RNAcentral. Lineage: Bacteria; Bacillati; Actinomycetota; Coriobacteriia; Coriobacteriales; Atopobiaceae.
CGUUAGCUCAGUUGGUAGAGCAGGGGACUUUUAAUCCCAAGGUCCAGGGUUCGAUCCCCUG